GGAGGGAACUGGCUAGUUAGUGACGUAAACCGCGAAGGGGCCAGCUGAUUGGCUGAGCCCAUGUUGCUCUGGAUCAAUCGAGACGAGGACUGCUGCGAGAGAAGGGAGAUGAUUGGAUGAGAGCUUGCAUAGGAGGGAGCUGGAGAAGAGGGUCAGAUGGGGGCUAAAGUCUCUGGAUUCAAUGAGCAACACAGACAAGCGGAAACCACAUGAGAACUGAGACCUGGACGGCUCAGGGUUGAAACAACAGUGGUCUCCAGCAAGAAGAGCCACAGAGAGCCAGUGGAGGCACUGCAUACAAGAUGAAAGACCCAUUUCUAGCAUGUAAAACAAUGUGAAAUUAAAUAAAUAUAAAUAAAAUGAAGCUGCAAUAAAAUUUAGUUGGUGCCUGA
This is a long non-coding RNA of Oreochromis aureus, 392 nucleotides long. RefSeq lists it as uncharacterized. The record is from RefSeq and is a predicted model, not a curated record. NCBI's taxonomy places the organism in Eukaryota, Metazoa, Chordata, Actinopteri, Cichliformes, Cichlidae. The transcript has 2 exons.